AAGGAAGUGGCAGAGUGGUCAUGUAGUUGGCUUGAAACCAUCUUACGGGGGUUCGAUUCCUCCCUUUCUCG
RNAcentral lists this transfer RNA (71 nucleotides) under Gudusia chapra (Indian river shad). Its description in RNAcentral is "tRNA-Ser (UCN)". It matches the Rfam family "tRNA". From Rfam's summary of the family: Transfer RNA (tRNA) molecules are approximately 80 nucleotides in length. Their secondary structure includes four short double-helical elements and three loops (D, anti-codon, and T loops). Lineage: Eukaryota; Metazoa; Chordata; Actinopteri; Clupeiformes; Clupeidae. The record is from RNAcentral.